UAGGGAAUCUUCGGCAAUGGGGGCAACCCUGACCGAGCAACGCCGCGUGAGUGAAGAAGGUUUUCGGAUCGUAAAGCUCUGUUGUAAGAGAAGAACGUGUGUGAGAGUGGAAAGUUCACACAGUGACGGUAACUUACCAGAAAGGGACGGCUAACUACGUGCCAGCAGCCGCGGUAAUACGUAGGUCACGAGCGUUGUCCGGAUUUAUUGGGCGUAAAGCGAGCGCAGGCGGUUUAAUAAGUCUGAAGUUAAAGGCAGUGGCUUAACCAUUGUUCGCUUUGGAAACUGUUAAACUUGAGUGCAGAAGGGGAGAGUGGAAUUCCAUGUGUAGCGGUGAAAUGCGUAGAUAUAUGGAGGAACACCGGUGGCGAAAGCGGCUCUCUGGUCUGUAACUGACGCUGAGGCUCGAAAGCGUGGGGAGCAAACAGG
Molecule: ribosomal RNA, 429 nt
Filed under: bacterium
Lineage: Bacteria
Description: partial 16S ribosomal RNA
Rfam family: Bacterial small subunit ribosomal RNA
Source: RNAcentral